RNAcentral lists this ribosomal RNA (483 nucleotides) under uncultured bacterium. Its description in RNAcentral is "partial 16S ribosomal RNA". It matches the Rfam family "Bacterial small subunit ribosomal RNA", at positions 30 to 507 of the family's 1533-position model. The record is from RNAcentral.
AUUGAACGCUGGCGGCAGGCCUAACACAUGCAAGUCGAGCGGAUGAAGGGAGCUUGCUCCUGGAUUCAGCGGCGGACGGGUGAGUAAUGCCUAGGAAUCUGCCUGGUAGUGGGGGAUAACGUCCGGAAACGGGCGCUAAUACCGCAUACGUCCUGAGGGAGAAAGUGGAGGAUCUUCGGACCUCACGCUAUCAGAUGAGCCUAGGUCGGAUUAGCUAGUUGGUGGGGUAAAGGCCUACCAAGGCGACGAUCCGUAACUGGUCUGAGAGGAUGAUCAGUCACACUGGAACUGAGACACGGUCCAGACUCCUACGGGAGGCAGCAGUGGGGAAUAUUGGACAAUGGGCGAAAGCCUGAUCCAGCCAUGCCGCGUGUGUGAAGAAGGUCUUCGGAUUGUAAAGCACUUUAAGUUGGGGGAAGGGCAGUAAGUUAAUACCUUGCUGUUUUGACGUUACCAACAGAAUAAGCACCGGCUAACUUCGUG